Uranotaenia lowii is the source of this 10188-nucleotide long non-coding RNA. RefSeq lists it as uncharacterized. The record is from RefSeq and is a predicted model, not a curated record. The transcript is spliced from 5 exons. Lineage: Eukaryota; Metazoa; Arthropoda; Insecta; Diptera; Culicidae.
AGCCACAAUGUGUCGAUUUCGUUGAGUGUGCAAGAUUUUCGGGAUUUCUGAAAUUUUUAAGCGCUACAAUCUUUUCAUCCUCUAUCUUCCAACCAUCUGAAGAAACUACAAAGCCUAGAAAUUUAACGGAUUGUUUUCCGAUUUCACAUUUCUCUUCGUUGACCCGAACAUUCAAAGAUUAAAAUAUCAUCCAGAUAAUUAAUAACGCCUUCGCACCCGGCAAGGACGACUGUCUGCAAGGACUCCUGAAAGAUGUCAGGUGCAUUACACAACCCGAAGGGAAGUCUCUUGUAGCGAUAUAUGCAGUCCCCUGCGAAAAAAUUUGUGAGGUGUCAGGAGUUUUCGUCAAGCUCUAUAUGGAAAAAGGCGUUUUUAAGGUCUAUAGUGGAAAACCACUUGGCACCGUGUAGCUCCAUAACGAUUGACUCGAAGGUAGGCAUUUUGAACGGUGUCCUAUGUAUGCAUCGGUUCGGACCUCUCAAGUCAAUGACAAGGCGGAUAUCGUCCUUACCCUUUGGGACUACCAACAAGGACGAGCAGAACGAACGGUCCAUUUCUAGUGUGACUUCUUCAAUGAUUCCUGAGCACAAAAGCUCCCCUAGCUUACGUUUAGUCAGCUCUUUAAAAGCCGGUGGAAUGUGAGUGUACACGUUACGUGACGGCGGUAGUUCUGAAUUGUACUUCAACGAUACAGGUGGUAUAUUGAAUUUGGGGAAUUCGUUUAGAGCUUGUAUUGAUGAUUCAUAGACAACCGCGUUAAGAUGGCUAUACUGCCGCUCAUAGCAAGUCCGUCCCAUUUGCGUUUUUGUUGAGUUGAGAAAACAGCAAUUGAAUUUUGUUACUUGUGUUGAGAAUUUUCGUAUUUUUCCGUGGUUUUGAUGGCGGCAAUCAACAGCAUUUGUUACUUACGUGACAAACAAUUACUUUUGCGUCAUUGCUCGUUCAAAAAUACCAAAAUUUAGUUUGUUUGGGAUGAAAAUUAUGCUCUGGGACGCAUAUGCGAUUAUUUCCAUGGUAGGUAUCUAGCAAAAAUGAUAGCAAGUCAGUCCCAUUCCAUAGCCAACUGCUAACGCUGAUGAAAAAAUAAGGCUAGAAGAGAGCUUGCCCCCGUCUAACGGAACCUAUUUCUUGAACAACCUUCGGUAAGCAUUCCAGAUUGCCCAAUUUUAACCAGGCUUCCGGAUCUAUAAGGAAUAAAUGGGAAAUUCCCGGUCUGAUCCGAUUGCCCGGAUAUCGAGGAAACAAAAUCCGUUUUUUCUGAAUUUUUUUCACAAUUUUUGCAAAAUGCAAACCAAUUCCAAAAACAAUUAAAUUCAUGAAAUGUAUCGUUUUUUGGACAAAUUACUUCAGAUAAAAAAUAAAAUAGCUUCGCAUACAUUUUUGGAAUAGUAAAAUAAGAUUUAAAUGCCCGCCGUUGAUGUGUCUUGGUAAAAAAAUCUGUUUUUAUGUGUUUAUUAUUUACCUUUUCUCUUGCCUUUUAUAGGAAAAUACCUGGAUUUUGACCAGAUUUGGCCGGUUAUGGCCCGGUUUUUGAGUUUUAAAUUUAUAAAUCUAUUGCCCAGGAGAUUGCCAUAUUUUUGGGUGAAAAUUAUCAAGUUUUCCCGGCCGAAUACAUACAGAAUAAGCUUAGAAAGUUUAAUGAUAGGUAUGAAGAGAACUGUAAGUAAAGACCUUUUUUGCGUUAUUAUUUUAUACAAUGAAAAUUUUAUGUAGAAUGUGCGGAAAAAUAGCAAAAAUAUUUCACUUUUUUUUUUAUAACAUGCGAGAAAUUGCUGUUACAACCGGGUUGUUCUGUAUCAUAUCCAAUAUAACUGCUGGCUGCACAACUCUUACAGUAGCAACGUUAUAUUUCAAAGCACACUACAUGGUCGUCUAUCACCAUAUAAUUAUUGACUUUGGGACCGACUUGUGAUGAUUUUUUCGAUGGGACCGACUUGCGAUCAUUUUCACGAUGGGACAAAUUUACUUGAGGUUUUUUUCAAUGUUCAUCAGAACAAAGUACUCAAAAAAAAUUUUUCUCCUAAAACUACCGAUAAUUUGAAGGUGAUUCCACGGAUAAACGCAAAAAUGAUGAAAAUGCAAAUGGGACGGACUUGCUAUGAGCGGCAGUAUAUCUUAUCGGCACGUUAAUUCCUACAUCGAGAACGCUGUAUCGGAUAGCCGUGUUAAAUCCUAGCAACGCUUGUACUUCCUCUACGACAUAAAAUUUCUCAAACGUAACUGGACGAUCAUCGGAAAUAAACAGCUCUGCAGAAAAUGUUGCUACCACAUUGAUAUUUCCAUUUGAUGCGUAGGCUUUUAACGGUUUAUCAGAGGAUGGACGCAAUGCAAUGAUUUUUCCAGACGCUUCUUCAUCGGCCAUGAUAUCAUCAAACGACGUUUUCGUGAUUGUGUUUACAUGAGCACCUGAAUCAAUCAUAAAUCGUACUACUUUUCCGGCUACCUGGGCAAUUAUAAAAACGUCAGCUGCUGAUGCAAAUAAAGCUUAGUUCUUUUAGAAAUGGGACAGUUACGAAUGCGUGUAUCUCAAAAACCAUUCGUUUGAUCGAAAUACUUUCUAUGAAGAAAAUGAAGGUAAUGUUAUGAUAUUUCAUGAAAAAAAUUUAAAAAAAUUAUUUAUCGUUUUUUGUAAGAGAAAUUUCUGAUUUUUGCUUGGUACCUCUCUUUGGCCGGCGCACACUUUUUUCAGUCAUGAUAUUGAUCAGUUUUUCCUACUUAUACUUCGUCAAAUCUAUAUUUUAGGUGGUUUCACCCUCCUCCUUCAAUUUCUGAUACUUUUUGGUCCAAUACUUCUCUUUUGAAAAAAGCUGAAAGCAGUUUAGUGGAUAAAGUUGUUUCGAAAUGAACAAAUUUGAUCAUUUCUGACCACAUUUGCUAGCGUUUUUAAUGGAAUUUCUGCUGGUAAAAUCUGACAAUAACGAAGUAAAACCAGCAUGAGAUUGAACUUGAAGUAUAAUUGGUUAGUAUAAAUCGUAGGAUGUGGAUGGUGCAUACAAGAUAACUCUUUUUAGGCUUAAAAAACGGCAAAAACCAAAGUUUUUUUUUUAAUUUUUUUUUUCUUUUUAUUUUCAGGAGCAAAAUAUUGGCAAAUUAUUAUAUUUUUAUACAAAAUAACCAGCAAAAACAUACUUUAACAUACUCGGGACCUUGCCACUAGCAAACAUGGUACAGGAUUUAAACGCUGGAAUUUGUUUGAAAUAGGGUAUUUCAUAAGUAUUGUCGUUCAUUAGAAAUCAUCUGUCCUAUAACCUCGGUACCGGCUUUACAACUUACGAGCUCUGCAACUAGCAAAAAUUGUUGUUUGAGGUUAGAUUUGAAUGACUUAUCACUAGGCAACACUUUCAGCUUAUCGGAGAAAAUUGUUUUGGACCUUUCAGCGAUCUACCCUAAGUUUUUCUCUUAUUGAAAAUUAAAAAUGCUGGUAUGAGACUUGACUUCCCUAAUGACCCUUAACCGUAGUUGCCGAUCAUGUGCUUCACUCCAAUGCUUGAUUUGAACUUUGUAGACAUUAUUGACAGUGUUUGCAUACUUAUCCACCACACUAACUCAGUAAUUUUUUGAAGAAUCAACGGUUUUGUCAGCAAUCAAUUGGAUAAUGACGGAUUUUGAAGGAAACUGUGCUAAAUAUUUUUUUUCUUUUUCUCUUGCAUCGAAUAUAUCUCUACAACGCGUAAAUUUUAAAUUUUGAAAAAAAUAGGUCGAAUAGUACUUUUUACAGGCAACAAAAUGCUGUCAAAAUUUUGAAUAUCCGAUUACAAGUAAAGAGCUAUUAACAGAUGAAAGUGUCCCAUUUCUAAAAGAACUAAGCUUUAGAUUGGUUUGUUGCACUGCGAUGUUAUUUAUGUCCAAACUUUCAGGAUCUGUUUUUUUCACGUCAGGAAGUUGCAAAGGUUCCUAAAAAAUAACUUAUCUCUUAGAUACAGUUGCAGAGUGACAAAUUAAUUAAUUUCAUGGUGGCUUUGUCUCCCGUCAUAAUUGUACAAUAUAUUCAUGAAUGUGAAUAAAGUUAAUAGGGAAAAGAGUCAAGAUUUUGAACAUGUCGCAAUAAAUCCUCUUUUGAAUUUAACUGUCUGUGGACUAUGGAAGCCAGAUACAAUUGUAUUUUUUUUUGAAUAGGUCAUCAUGCCAUAGAUAAGCUUUAAUUAUCUUCAAAUCUCAUUCUGUUUAUUGAAUUCAGGUACCCGACUAACAGCUUGAGUAAUAAUGUAAAAAGUAGUUCAAUAUUGUUGCUUCUUUAGACCAAUAUAAAAAAGCGAAUAAUUCACUUUUGUUUAACUAAUUGGAUUUGAUAAUUACCAGAAAUUCUUUUUUUUUUUCUCAUUCUAAUACAAUUCUAGUUCAAAUCAUAUAAUGUAAAAAAAAAUCCUUAUUCUUAUUAAUUCAAAAAAAAAAUGAUGCUUUUGAUCAACGUGCAUGAGGGCCUACUCUGGAUUCUUGUCAGAAUUAUGUACCUCAUUGUCGGAGUCUUGCUCUGACUUGCUUUCUAUUACGGCGAUCUUCUUUGGUAUCUGCUCUUCUGAAGUCGUUGGUCGUUUCCAUGACAUUGAUUUCGUGCUCUCAGCUGUUGAGGAACAAGCUUGAGCAAUGUGUCCAAAUCUACCGCAUUUGUAACAACCUUUACCAGCUGCCGAACAUGUUGACGAAAAAUGAAAAUAACUACCGCAUCUCCAGCAUGAUUCUCCACCUGGAUUGCGCAUUGGUGCUUUGUACGAUCCUCUUCCUCCACGACGGUUAUUGCGAUUACCACGUGGCAUUCCUCUUCCACGCCAACUCUGGACACGAGUAUGUGUGGAACCAUGAGUAACCAUUGCCACUGAUAAAGCUGGUUCGUUGCGGCCUCGGAAUCUUUGGUAUUCCUCCUCGUUUGCUUUCUCUAAUUCACUGUCACGUACCAAAUCAAUUAGGUCUUUCAUAGUACCCUGCUUUACCCAGUUUCUGUGCGCAAGUUUUCUUACUCUGCUAUCGGAAGCGCCCUUCAUUAGCUGCCUGACAACAGCUUCCAUUUCUUCGUCCUCAGUAUAAUCACAUAACUUAGCUGCUGAUGAAACACGGCGCACAAAUUCAAUACUGGAUUCAUCAUUUGACUGAUGUAAAUUUAUAAGCCUUCCUCUUUCAGCUAAGAGAUAGGUUCUCGACCCAAAAUAACUGUCUAGACGAGACAUUGCAUUCGAGAACGGAGCCUGUAGCUCGUCAGGCAUUCCUGGUUCGGAAGGGUUUCAUUCCAUUUCAUCUGAAAGACUCCCCACUUAGCUUGUUCAUCUGCAGAGUUAGCCAUUUUGAAAGCAGCGAUCACCAUAUCCUUCCAGUAUUUAAAUGAUUCUUUGUCUAUGUCCGAUUUACCAGGUUUUGGUAAACAUUCCGGGAUACACAAGGAUCCCAACGUUACACUAUUCAUGGUAGCUAGAAGCACCGAUUCAUUCCUGGUACUAACGUUGACUGCAACAUCAUCUCUCAUUGUACUGGAGUGAGUGGGGCGUAAUCCGGUGUCCGAGUUUCGAUCUGAGUUCUGAUCUGAGUUUUGAUCUGGUAUUUGUUCUGAAGACAAACGUUCCAACUGUUCGCGGAGAGAGUUGUUCUCCUCCAUAGAUUUUUGCAGAGCUCUUCUAAGCUUCUUUUUCGAGUGUUUUCUGGAAGAAAAAAUAAACACAAAAUGUUCAGCUCUAUCCCUCACGGUGUGCACAUUUAAUCUUUCAUGAGCUAUUUGAUCUUCGAUCACUUAUGAAAUAUUAUUCUAGCAAAAUCUCUGAGUUCCUCAUCGAUAAAUAAAACUUAUAUACUCUAUAAAUAACACUCCUGAGUUCUUCGUUUGUUCUUCCUAUCUUUCUAUGUGUGUGUUUACAUUUCCUUGUUUCUAAAGCACGCAGCAAACAAAUUUGCUGUUACUUGAAAUUUCCGCCAUGAUUGUUUUUUCUAUUACAUCAUGUUUAAGCUCUUUUUUUCUUUAACCUGGGCAGCCAUUUUUUUUUUGCCCCAAUACGACCGAAUUCUUCCUGAAUAUCUCGUUUUUUUCAUUUUCAUUUCUCAUUUAGAACAGGACACAUAUAUUUUUAUUUUUUUUUGCACAUGUAUUUUUUUUCUAAAUCGUUUCCGUAUUCUUUGCUAUCAUUUUUUUUUUCUUCUAUCAACAAUUAUUUUUUUUUUCUUUUCUUUUCUUUACUAUUGUAAAACUGUAUACUUACUUUAGAGAAAACGCUUUGGCCGCACCGACUGUGCCACUGUCGUGUCCGGUCGGGCUGCUACCGUCAAUCCCUGCCAUUUCGUUUGCCUCACGUCAGGUCUUCUCUGCAAUCACCUAAAAACUAACUCUUUUCUUCUAUGAAGCAACGUUUGACCCUUUUUUCGAUGAAAAGCUUUCACAAAUACCAAUAUUUUAUAUAGUGUGAGUGACAUUAUUCUACUCAAAUUUUGUUAAAUAAGGGCUCUUUGAGCAAGUCACCCAUAGUCAUCAUCAUCAUUGAGUUCUACACGUUUAAUUUAUUUUGUAUAUCGUAUAAAGGUAGUUUACCAAGAAUUACAAAAACUUAAAUAUAUGGCUAUACUAGUAUUACGUACCACAUCUGGUUCUGGAUCAGGAUUUUUGGAGGACAGCAGCGGUACUAGUGGCAACAGGACUGAGCGAACCUCCGGCGGCAAUCAGAAUUUUACUUGAACUCAGCGCUUUAACGGGGGAAAUGUACUUAGGCGAGGGAAUCAGCCUCGGUGGAAUUUUCCACCGUUUACACCUGAGCCUUUUCCUUGUCCAGCAAACGCCAUUAUUUCCAACUUGGGGCUAAACUUGUCCUUUGCCAACGACUGGUGGAGUGCUGUUGUCCAUGGAUCGUAGAACCGGCGCUCCUGCAGCAGAUCGGUGAUGUCUUUCCGAUUUUCCGGCGUGUUGUUGUUUUCCUUUGCGCUGCUGCUGAUUAUCUGAAUAGAAAAAAAGGUUUAAACUCUAAUGAAAAAAACUAAAAUGAGAAAAUUACUCACAUCUUUUGCCAUAUGUCCAUAUGAAUAUGAAUUCUAAGUCAGCUUGCACUGCGGAUAAAAAAUUAGCACCUCGUCAACCUCAACGCAACCAAACUUGGCCGCAAAGUGGGGCGGCGUCUCGCCACGACUUUUGUCCGGCGUGUUCAAAUACAUAUCCAUGCACUGACUUCAUCGGUCGAGGCAGUUCUCUGGUCCGUGCAGCAGCUCGAUGAAGCCGGGAUUCUCGAUCGUCUGCAGUAUCAGCUUGUACAUAUGGACAUUGCCUUCCAUGGCGGCCACGUGCAGCGCAUUUUAGCGGAGGUCCCUCCUUCAGGAUCGUUGGCAUAUCACCGGACGACACCAGGAAGCGAGGAUUGGCCUGGAUUAUGCAUGCUCUGCACCAGUGGCAACAGGCCCAGCCGUUUUAUCGGGUACUUUGCCUGAAUUGUUAGAUCCAGAUGGACAGGGAGAAGUUUGGUUCCGUGCUUUUUUUUAUGUUCCGGUGUUCCAGAGGGAAUGCACUGUACUGUGAGCACCCUGGUGCGGUUUCCAUUGUUCCUGUCAUGGUAAAAUUAGUUUUUAUAAUAUGGUUGGUAAUUUAAAUCUUAGAGCACCUGCAACGGUUCAGGCGUAAAUAUUGGUUUAAAGUAUACCAGUUUAAGCACAAUUUGAAAUUUUAGAAUCGGCUAAAACACCCACUCCCCACCGGUGUAGGAGCAAAUUUUAAACGGAAACGUUUUCAUUGCAGACACUCAAUAAUUGAGAAGAAAAAACCCAUUUUAUUAGAAAAAUUGCAUUAGUUUUGAGUUUCACGGUUAAUUGUCUUAAAAUUAAUUUUACGAAUAUUCUUUUUGACAGAACAAUGAUUUCAACUAUUCUACCAGGAUUUCAUUAAUUUAAAAGCAAAAAUAACUACACAACGAGGAACAAAAGGUCAAUCGAAACAAUUCUUCAAUUAAUUCAAUCAAAUUGCUUUGAAUCAAUGGAAUAAGGUUUUGUUGAAAUGAAAUGAAGAAGCAAUUUUUUUUUUCAAGUUAUUGCUGACAUUGAUAAAGGAAACGAGAAAUGUUCAUCCCAAAGUCAAAGGAAAUUUUCCUUUGAUUUGUCGACAUUUUUGUUUGACAAAAACUUGUUUCACUAUUAGUAAAUUUAUGAAAAAUUUAUGUUUUAAGAAAAAUAUGCUGAUAUUGACGCUGCUGACGACUCCGAGCAAUCCAUACGAAACUAAAAAUCUCUCAAUAUCUCAAAUAAAACAAAAAUUAUAGAACAAACAAUAAACAUUUAUUUUACCGCAUCGAAAAAGUAUUAAAAUUUUCUUUUCGUUAAUUUUUUUCAAAUUUUAGAACGCUGACUGGAUUCACUUAUUCGUCGAGCCCAAAUGAAAAGCUUUUUAUUUAAUUAUAUUAAAUCAAGAAUAAUGUGACAUCUAUUAUUUAUACUUGAUAUGGUUUUUAUUAACAUCUUUCCUCAAUUUAUGUUACGUAUAGGGUGGUUGAAGCGAAAAAAAACAUUCAAAUUAUAUCUCAAAAAGAAACUAUUAUCACACCCAAUGUUACCCAAACAUGUGUGUAAGAAAAUCAUUGUUGGCUAAAAUUUUUUCACCGUGAACUAAAUCAGUCUGUCGUACACUCAGGCAAAUUUUUAUUAUAAUUCUCAUAAGAUGCAUCUUAUGAACCGCUUUUUAGAGUGUAAAAUAAUGUUUCAUAAGAGUCUUAUGAAAUUCUUAAAAUUUUCAUACGAUGUUCUUAUGAAAAAUUGAAGAAACGGCAUUGUGAAAAAAUAAUGAACACAUUCAUUCAUAGCCUCAGUUUUUUUUUUUCAUCAUCUAACAGUAUGAAGCAAUCGCCAGUUCAUAGUUAUUAAUUAUAGUUUUCCUUCAAUGUUAAAUUUUAUUGUUAUCUCCGGAAUGGUAAGUUCGAUUUGAUGUUUUUGGAGUGAACGUUUACUAAAAUACAUUAUUUGUUUACUUUUCAGCAAGCUGAUCGGCAAAAAACGAAAGGUCGAAGAUAAAGAUGCGGCUAAAAAAAAAAACUUUGAUGGAGCCGUCUGCUGAUGCGUUCCCGCAUAAUCAAAUAUCAUACCCGUUAUCGUUGAUAUUAUUCUGAUCUGAUUACACGAAUAGUGAAUAUUCAAGUAAUCGUUCUAAAAUCUUCAAAUUUUUACUAACUUUUAUAUUUUUCAUGCGUCUUCGCUUAAAAUGAUAAUAAAUUAUUAUUGAAAGAUACGGGUAAUAAUCCUUAAAACAAAACUCAAGAUGUAUUUGAGUGUGUCUUCACUGUCAACAAGAAAAAAAAUGGCGUGCGCGACUUUAGAUUCCUAAGCCCGUAAGAUUCCGGAAAAUCCUCUUAAUUUGGCCAGGCAACCCACGAAUGGCAUGAGCACUUAAGAUUAAGCUGAUCAAGGCCCGCACCGCAAACGCGAGGAAUAAAGCUCAUCAAAGUGCAGCAGAUGCCGGAACAAUCCUCAUCAACCGGCCGAACAAACACUGGAGCGGUUCCAGUGCCCCAGCACUACGCUCCGUAGAAGCGGCAGCAGCUGUGGUCUGUGUAAAAUUGUAAAUACAAUUGGAGAUGGCAGCGAUUUGCGGAUUUGGUGGUGGUGGCGUCGAAGGAAAAGUUUUCCGGAAACCUUGAAUCCCAAAAUGCAGUUGUUUAGAGUAAUCUAAAAUUGACUGAAAGGAUGAGGCAAAACAAACGGUUGCACUACGGUGCGCAGAAUCUGAGCCUCCCAAAAUAAACUGCCGGAAUCGGUCCGCAGAUACCAGCUCCGGUGAUGUGCAGGGUCUACACCGUAUUUUGGGACAUAGUAAACAGCAAGAUCUUCAUCAACCGGAACCUGCAGGGCUGGAGGUCAUAUCAUUGUAAAGAAGGUCAACGUAUUUUCGUGUCGCCUACGCUUCCAAAGCAGAAAUCCUCUUAUUUCAACCAAAAUUCCCGGAAUCGCGUGGCAGGAAACGGCUCCAGGAAUGUGCUGGGACACUGUCUUACGCUGGAGUAAGAAAAGUCCGCCUGAGGAAUCUUACAAUGUACACAGUGCCGAUACGCCAGCAACGGAGGAAACAUGCAAAUUGAAGGCGGUCCCGAGCUAAAAAAAUCCGUUGGGAAGGAUUCUAAAACAUGCCCGCAUAAAUAAGGAUUGUAUCCAAACGUUUUCUGUAAUAGUAUAACGACGAUUUGACGAAGUGUAAAAAAAUGUUAAACGAACGAUUAAUAAAACAUUAAAAUACAUUGCGUUAAACGUGAA